Gallus gallus (chicken) is the source of this 1005-nucleotide long non-coding RNA. The record is from Ensembl. NCBI's taxonomy places the organism in Eukaryota, Metazoa, Chordata, Aves, Galliformes, Phasianidae.
GAGAAAUCAGGAAGGGGACUGACAGCUCCUGUUUUAAUAAGGUGAUGCCCCUUGGAACGCUCUUGGCAGUUGGCUUCAUUUACAGUGACGUCUAGUCUUUUCAACAUGGUUUUCAUCUUUACUGCUCCGAGGCAUGUCUUCCUUCUGUAAAGCCUUCCAUCUUUAAUCCACCAAAGUGGGGAAAACGUGAUGUUGAAAUACAGUUGAAGCAAAGCAGCAGCUGAACCUCUGCAUUUGUUCUGCACUGAUGGGUGAGGGGCUGCUCUGUGUAGUCAUUCAGCAUCAGGAAUUGCCAUUGUUCGCUUGCUUUCUGAGGAGAGAAUUACUUCUUCAAAGGGAUGCUCAGUGCCCAGAAGAGGAGGACAGUCUCUGGGAGAGACAUUUUACUGCUGCUGCAGUUCAAGAUGGAAUGGCAGCAAGCAGACUGCUUGCUGCAGUAGAAGUCCUGCAUAAACCUCUGAGGCAGCUCAGAACACCAUGUGCAAGAAUCCAGGUGCCCAUCUGUAACCCUCGACACCUACAUGUUUUAAAAGCAUGACUCAAGUGUCUUCUGGGAGGAGGAUUUAGGCCCUUGGUCACUGCUGUAUACCCUGAACUUUGCAGUGCUCUGGCUUGGUGCAGGGAUGAGCAAUCACAUGCGCUCUGUAAGGAACUGUUGCUCUUUGGUAAUAUUUCUUCAGGUUAAGCAUGACAAUCUCUCAUCAUUGGUGUAUAUGAUGUGAAGAGCCUCUUUCUCCAUCAUUUCAGAUUAUCUUGUUAGUGGGAUGUAUGUUACAUCAAUUUUGUGUGCCUAAUAAUUUCUACAUUGGAGAAGGUGACUGCUUACAGACAUUUGCUAUCCAAUUUAACUGCAUUCUUAUUUAACGUUGUUGAUGUCUCAGGUGACUGCUCCAUGGGAGCAUAGGAGAUGUUUCACCUCUUUGUCUAUGUGUGUUUACUGCUUGUACUGCUGAAAAUCCCAUUCAGACUGGUGAUUAAAGGAGUCCAACUAAAUGUCAUCUAAAG